RNAcentral lists this ribosomal RNA (564 nucleotides) under Streptomyces filipinensis. RNAcentral's name for it is "bacterial SSU rRNA". It matches the Rfam family "Bacterial small subunit ribosomal RNA", at positions 93 to 671 of the family's 1533-position model. The record is from RNAcentral. Lineage: Bacteria; Bacillati; Actinomycetota; Actinomycetes; Kitasatosporales; Streptomycetaceae.
UAGUGGCGAACGGGUGAGUAACACGUGGGCAAUCUGCCCUUCACUCUGGGACAAGCCCUGGAAACGGGGUCUAAUACCGGAUACGAGCCUCCUGGGCAUCUGGGAGGUUGGAAAGCUCCGGCGGUGAAGGAUGAGCCCGCGGCCUAUCAGCUUGUUGGUGAGGUAACGGCUCACCAAGGCGACGACGGGUAGCCGGCCUGAGAGGGCGACCGGCCACACUGGGACUGAGACACGGCCCAGACUCCUACGGGAGGCAGCAGUGGGGAAUAUUGCACAAUGGGCGAAAGCCUGAUGCAGCGACGCCGCGUGAGGGAUGACGGCCUUCGGGUUGUAAACCUCUUUCAGCAGGGAAGAAGCGAGAGUGACGGUACCUGCAGAAGAAGCGCCGGCUAACUACGUGCCAGCAGCCGCGGUAAUACGUAGGGCGCAAGCGUUGUCCGGAAUUAUUGGGCGUAAAGAGCUCGUAGGCGGCUUGUCACGUCGAUUGUGAAAGCCCGAGGCUUAACCUCGGGUCUGCAGUCGAUACGGGCUAGCUAGAGUGUGGUAGGGGAGAUCGGAAUUCCU